RNAcentral lists this long non-coding RNA (653 nucleotides) under Olea europaea (common olive). RNAcentral's name for it is "long non-coding RNA (OEUR_LNC008744)". The record is from RNAcentral. Lineage: Eukaryota; Viridiplantae; Streptophyta; Magnoliopsida; Lamiales; Oleaceae.
GCAAGAAAAAUGGUAAAGCCAAUAAAAACAAACACAAAUCCAUAUGCAACAGUUCUUUUGGUUUUUUGAAGAGAGAAAUGGCUUUUGAAGUCUGAUAUCAAGGUUCUGCCAUUGACGGGUGCAUAUUUUGUUACAUCUGCCAUCUGCAAUCUGCAAUUCCCAGAAAUCCCAGAAAUGUGUCUGUGUGAUGGAAAAAGAAGUUUAGGAAUUUCGCAGAGAAAGCAAGAGAAGAGGGAGAGAGAGAGAGAGUUUCAGUUUAACUAAAACAAAGAUUUUCUAGAGAAAAAUAUUAGGAAUUACGCAGGGAAUGCAAGAAAAGAGAUUAGAUAAUAGUGGAGAGCGAGAAAUUGUGACGCAAAUAGAUAGGACUCUCACUCUGUGGAGAUGGAGACACAAAAUUUCAAGACUCUCUCAAUAAGUUCGAUCGAUUCAUCUAAAAUUGAAAUUGAUAUUUAUAUUUCAGGAUAAUAGUGAAAAUAAGGAUAAAAUCUUUAUAAUAAAGUACCCAUCCUUUACAAGAUCAUAAAACUCUCCAGCGAUAACCAUUUAAUCACAAAGAAGAAGAAAAUGGAAAACAGAUUGUCAAAAUUCAUUUGCGUGUGGACCCGUGUAUUACAAUUGUACGGUGUAUUUGCCUCAAAAUUCAAUUCAAA